RNAcentral lists this ribosomal RNA (317 nucleotides) under uncultured bacterium. RNAcentral's name for it is "bacterial SSU rRNA". It matches the Rfam family "Bacterial small subunit ribosomal RNA", at positions 28 to 325 of the family's 1533-position model. The record is from RNAcentral.
GAUGAACGCUGGCGGCGUGCUUAACACAUGCAAGUCGAACGAAGCACCUACCAAGGAUUUCCUCGGAAUGACUGAUAGGUGACUGAGUGGCGGACGGGUGAGUAACGCGUGGGUAACCUACCUCAUACAGGGGGAUAACAGUUAGAAAUGACUGCUAAUACCGCAUAAGCGCACAGUAUUGCAUGAUACAGUGUGAAAAACUCCGGUGGUAUGAGAUGGACCCGCGUCUGAUUAGCUAGUUGGUAAGGUAACGGCUUACCAAGGCGACGAUCAGUAGCCGGCCUGAGAGGGUGAACGGCCGACAUUGGAACUGAGGA